This 478-nucleotide ribosomal RNA is filed under the name uncultured organism. RNAcentral's name for it is "partial 16S ribosomal RNA". It matches the Rfam family "Bacterial small subunit ribosomal RNA", at positions 332 to 801 of the family's 1533-position model. The record is from RNAcentral.
UACACUCCUACGGGAGGCAGCAGUGGGGAAUUUUGGACAAUGGGCGAAAGCCUGAUCCAGCAAUGCCGCGUGCAGGAUGAAGGCCUUCGGGUUGUAAACUGCUUUUGUACGGAACGAAAAAGCUCCUUCUAAUACAGGGGGCCCAUGACGGUACCGUAAGAAUAAGCACCGGCUAACUACGUGCCAGCAGCCGCGGUAAUACGUAGGGUGCGAGCGUUAAUCGGAAUUACUGGGCGUAAAGCGUGCGCAGGCGGUUAUGUAAGACAGAUGUGAAAUCCCCGGGCUCAACCUGGGAACUGCAUUUGUGACUGCAUGGCUAGAGUACGGUAGAGGGGGAUGGAAUUCCGCGUGUAGCAGUGAAAUGCGUAGAUAUGCGGAGGAACACCGAUGGCGAAGGCAAUCCCCUGGACCUGUACUGACGCUCAUGCACGAAAGCGUGGGGAGCAAACAGGAUUAGAAACCCGAGUAGUCCCAUGAU